This 467-nucleotide ribosomal RNA is filed under the name uncultured bacterium. RNAcentral describes it as "partial 16S ribosomal RNA". It matches the Rfam family "Bacterial small subunit ribosomal RNA", at positions 28 to 506 of the family's 1533-position model. The record is from RNAcentral.
GACGGACGCUGGCGGCGUGCUUAACACAUGCAAGUCGAACGGAAAGGCCCUGCUUUUGUGGGGUGCUCGAGUGGCGAACGGGUGAGUAACACGUGAGUAACCUGCCCUUGACUUUGGGAUAACUUCAGGAAACUGGGGCUAAUACCGGAUAGGAGCUCCUGCUGCAUGGUGGGGGUUGGAAAGUUUCGGCGGUUGGGGAUGGACUCGCGGCUUAUCAGCUUGUUGGUGGGGUAGUGGCUUACCAAGGCUUUGACGGGUAGCCGGCCUGAGAGGGUGACCGGCCACAUUGGGACUGAGAUACGGCCCAGACUCCUACGGGAGGCAGCAGUGGGGAAUAUUGCACAAUGGGCGGAAGCCUGAUGCAGCAACGCCGCGUGCGGGAUGACGGCCUUCGGGUUGUAAACCGCUUUCGCCUGUGACGAAGCGUGAGUGACGGGAAUGGGUAAAGAAGCACCGGCUAACUACGU